RNAcentral lists this long non-coding RNA (2155 nucleotides) under Lupinus angustifolius (narrow-leaved blue lupine). RNAcentral describes it as "long non-coding RNA (LANG_LNC003025)". Lineage: Eukaryota; Viridiplantae; Streptophyta; Magnoliopsida; Fabales; Fabaceae. The record is from RNAcentral.
AAAACCUAAAUCCUUCUUUUACUUUCCAAGUUUAACAAUAAACCUUGAUUAGAUUUGCUGAUAACAACAAGUUCUCUCUCUUCUCGACUUAUAACUUACUCUCCCUUUUGAGUUUUCUUCUGCUUAUUUAAUUUCUAUUCAUGUUCUUUCAAACUCGCAUCAGAUUUUUGUUUGUUGGAUAACUUUUUUCUUGUUUAAGAAUAAGAAUGAGAGCUUCGAUUGAGAGAUCCAUGGCUGAAAGGUUUGAUGAUGGAGAUAAGAAGAAAAGUGGUCGAUCCAAUCGUCUACCCAAACAAAACUCUGGCCCUUCUACUUCAGGUACCUUUAAAUUUGUUUUUUUUUCACUUUAUAAUAAGUCAUUGGGUGUUUUGGGUUCGUUUUCUUUAGCAGAAAUUAUGGAAAUUUUGUUUCCUUAAACAAGUAUGCAUAUGCUUCACUCUUUCAGUUUCAUGUUGGUUUGGAAUCUGGGGUUAGUCUAUGCUCUGGAGAAUAUUUCAUAGAUGUAUUAGAUGUAUUUAUAGUGACCUUAAUUGGAUUCAAUGUGUUCCUUGUUUAGCUUGUUUUGAACAAAGCGGACCGUAUUAUGAUCGUAAAGAUUUGAGGGUGAGACUCAUCUAUAGAGAAACUAAUAUGUAUGCUUAUGCCUUAUCUGACGCAACGGGACUUGCUACUGCUAUUCCUUUCGUGAUUCCUUGUAAUUUGAGUUAGUCCUGUUUUAUUCAUAACCAAAAGUAUUUGCAUUUGAUACUAAACAAUAAAAUCUUUUACAACUUUAUUAGUGAUUCUUUACUAUAAGCAGUUUAAGUAAUUCUUUAUAAUUAAAACUGAAUUCAGAAUAUAUAACUGUGUUAUUUGUUUAUAACAUAAAGAUGUGAUUACGUUUCUUAAUCGUUAUUUAAUAGAUAACUCAAACUAGUUAGUCCACAAAUUAUCCAAAAUAAAAGUAUAUUUGAAGCUUGAAAAAUGUAUUAAAAAAAUUGUCACUCAAGUAUUAAGUGAUUUUCAAGAAAGAUUGAGUGAUUUUGUGUUAUGCUGAAAAUUCAUCAGACUUAAACUGUGGAAAGUUUUCUAGAAUAAUAUGUUGAUCCUUUUCAUUUAUGGGCUUUUAUGUAGCAAAUCCAAAACCCAACGACUAUUAUGAUUGCUAGGACAACUGUGGUCCAAGAUGACAUAAGUGGAGAUUGCACAACUUCUACUGUGCUCUUCAUUGGUGAACUUGUGAAACAAUUUGAGCGUCGCAUUGAUGAAGGCUUGUCACAACACAAUCCUUGCACCUAUUAUUGUCAUGAAUGAAUCUUCUUCAGGGUCUUCUUUGUAGACUUAGUUUCAGCUUAUUGUCAUCUCCAAUCAUUUGUUUUCAACAAUGGUUUAUACUAUGGAUAUAUAUCCUUUAUGUAUUAAUGGUGUAUUUUUUGAAAGAUAGAAAAUUUCUUAGUAUAUAUAGUUAUUUUGUGUUUAAUUAUAUCGCCCCUCGGUUUUUAAGUUCUAGCUCUGCCAAGGCACUGAUACACGUGCCUAUCUAAUGCACUUAUCAUUGAUUGCAAUAUAUAAUACAUAAAAAACUUACUAAACUAAUGCAAUAUAUAAUGCACUUAUUAGCUUAUUUUCUCCAUAUGUUACUUUGAUUUAUGUCCUUUAUAUGUGCAAUGAGUUGCUCUAAGAAAGAAGAAUAAGAAUAGAAUAGGAACUUGUCCCUCAAAAGAAUUGGAUAACAAUAGCAUUAAACAUGGAUUAUAUUAUGCCCUGCCAUCUAAAAGCACAUGCAAUUAGUAUUAAUGCAUACAACAAAAUGUUUACAUUGCAAUAUUAUACACAUGUAAUAUUAGUAUUAAUGCAUACUCAAGUGUGCAUAAUCAUAAGACAUGCAAUAUUAUAGAACCAAGUGUAUAUAAUGAUGCGGUAAUUAUCAAUGUUUUUUUAUUGUUCCAACUAAAUAUUUUCAUUCUAUUAUUUCAGGAAAAUGAAGAUGCAAGUAUGUGUGAUACACCUUUGGGUGCAAGAGGAUCAUCUAGAGCCAACAAUCUUUGAAAUUUUUGUUAUGUAUUUUGUUUUUAAAGUGUCAUAUGAGACUACUUUUAGUUUUUUGAGAUUUUAUGAUGUAUUUAGAUUUUUAAUGAAGGAUGGAUUAUAAUUCCUUCAACUAUGUUAUGCUACC